AGAGCGAACGCUGGCGGCAGGCCUAACACAUGCAAGUCGAGCGGGCAUCGCAAGAUGUCAGCGGCAGACGGGAGAGUAACACGUGGGAACAUGCCCUUCGGUUCGGAAUAACUCAGGGAAACUUGAGCUAAUACCGGAUACGUCCGUAAGGAGAAAGAUUUAUCGCCGAAGGAUUGGCCCGCGUCCGAUUAGCUAGUUGGUGAGGUAACGGCUCACCAAGGCGACGAUCGGUAGCUGGUCUGAGAGGAUGAUCAGCCUCACUGGGACUGAGACACGGCCCAGACUCCUACGGGAGGCAGCAGUGGGGAAUAUUGGACAAUGGGCGCAAGCCUGAUCCAGCCAUGCCGCGUGGGUGAUGAAGGCCCUAGGGUUGUAAAGCCCUUUCGGCGGGGAAGAUAAUGACGGUACCGCAGAGAAGCCCGGCUAACUCGUGCCAGCAGCCGC
This 444-nucleotide ribosomal RNA is filed under the name uncultured bacterium. Its description in RNAcentral is "SSU rRNA". It matches the Rfam family "Bacterial small subunit ribosomal RNA", at positions 26 to 518 of the family's 1533-position model. The record is from RNAcentral.